AGUGAACGCUGGCGGCGUGCCUAAUACAUGCGAGUCGAACGGAGAUUAAGUAGCUUGCUAUUUAAUCUUAGUGGCGCACGGGUGAGUAAUAUAUAGCUAACUUGCCCAUUACUAAGGGACAACAGUUGGAAACGACUGCUAAUACCUUAUACUCCGUAUCUAUAUAAGUAGAUACGGGAAAGUUUUUCGGUAAUGGAUAGGGCUAUAUCGUAUCAGCUAGUUGGUAAGGUAAUGGCUUACCAAGGCUAUGACGCGUAACUGGUCUGAGAGGAUGAUCAGUCACACUGGAACUGAGACACGGUCCAGACUCCUACGGGAGGCAGCAGUAGGGAAUAUUGCUCAAUGGGGGAAACCCUGAAGCAGCAACGCCGCGUGGAGGAUGACACUUUUCGGAGCGUAAACUCCUUUUCUUGGGAAAGAAUUAUGACGGUACCCAAGGAAUAAGCACCGGCUAACUCCGUG
Molecule: ribosomal RNA, 462 nt
Filed under: uncultured bacterium
Lineage: Bacteria
Description: partial 16S ribosomal RNA
Rfam family: Bacterial small subunit ribosomal RNA
Source: RNAcentral